GGGCGGAUGGCGGAACUGGUAGACGCGCACGGUUAAGGGCCGUGUGGGAUAAAACCCGUGGAGGUUCGAGUCCUCUUCCGCCCACCA
This 87-nucleotide transfer RNA is filed under the name candidate division Kazan bacterium. RNAcentral describes it as "tRNA-Leu". It matches the Rfam family "tRNA". Rfam says of the family: Transfer RNA (tRNA) molecules are approximately 80 nucleotides in length. The record is from RNAcentral. RNAcentral also lists the same sequence under 1 other name.